GAUGAAGAACGUAGCGAAAUGCGAUAAGUAAUGUGAAUUGCAGAAUUCAGUGAAUCAUCGAGUCUUUGAACGCACAUUGCGCCCCCUGGUAUUCCGGGGGGCAUGCCUGUCCGAGCGUCAUUGCUGCCCUCAAGCACGGCUUGUGUGUUGGGCCCCGCCCCCCGGCUCCCGGGGGGCGGGCCCGAAAGGCAGCGGCGGCACCGCGUCCGGUCCUCGAGCGUAUGGGGCUUCGUCACCCGCUCCGUAGGCCCGGCCGGCGCCCGCCGGCGACCCCCCUCAAUCUUUUCAGGUUGACCUCGGAUCAGGUAGGGAUACCCGCUGAACUUAAGCAUAUCAUAAGCGGAGGA
This 347-nucleotide unclassified non-coding RNA is filed under the name soil metagenome. Its description in RNAcentral is "partial contains 5.8S ribosomal RNA, internal transcribed spacer 2, and large subunit ribosomal RNA". The stretch from base 1 to 120 matches the Rfam family "5.8S ribosomal RNA", at positions 35 to 154 of the family's 154-position model. The record is from RNAcentral.